UACGGAGGGGGCUAGCGUUGUUCGGAAUUACUGGGCGUAAAGCGCACGUAGGCGGCUUUGUAAGUUAGAGGUGAAAGCCCGGGGCUCAACUCCGGAACUGCCUUUAAGACUGCAUCGCUAGAAUUGUGGAGAGGUAAGUGGAAUUCCGAGUGUAGAGGUGAAAUUCGUAGAUAUUCGGAAGAACACCAGUGGCGAAGGCGACUCACUGGACAUGUAUUGACGCUGAGGUGCGAAAGCGUGGGGAGCAAACAGG
This 253-nucleotide ribosomal RNA is filed under the name uncultured bacterium. RNAcentral's name for it is "partial 16S ribosomal RNA". It matches the Rfam family "Bacterial small subunit ribosomal RNA", at positions 524 to 776 of the family's 1533-position model. The record is from RNAcentral.